UGGGAGACAUGGUCAGGAUCACCUGCUCUGGGGGUGGCAGCUACUAUGGCUGGUACCAGCAGAAGGUCCCUGGCAGUGGCCCUGUCACUGUGAUCUAUGCUGGUAACAGCAGACCCUCGGGCAUCCCUUCGCGAUUCUCCGCAUCCACAUCCGGCUCCUCGAACACGUUAACCAUCACUGGGGUCCAAGCCGAGGACGAGGCUGUCUAUUUCUGUGGUAGCUAUGACAGCAGCAGUACUGCUGGUGUAUUCGGGGCCGGGACGAUUUUGAAUGUCGCAGGCCAGCCCCAGGUGGCUCCCACCGUGCACCUCUUCGCGCCAUCCUCCGAGGAGAUGGAGUCACUGGGCAAGGCCACCCUGGUGUGCCUGAUGGAGAACUUCUACCCACGCACUGUGACGGUGGAAUGGGUGGGUGACGGCAACACCAUCUCCACUGGCGUGGAGACCAGCCAGCCCCAGCAGCAGAGCAACAGCCAGUACAUGGCCAGCAGUUACCUGUCGAUGGAUGCCACCAAGUGGCAGAGUUACAAUUAUGUCUCGUGCAAGGUCAGGCACGUGGCUGGAAACGUGGAGAAGACCGUGAACAGAUCCGAGUGUUCCUAACCCGCCCCGCCGGCCCUGUGCUGGCUCCCUCCCUCCUCCCCACUUCUGGGAACAGCGGCUCCCCCAGCCGCAGGUGUCUCUGCCCAUGUCUGCCCGUCCCCUGCUCCUGUCCCCUCACUGUGAGUGUCACACAAAUAAACAGCGACACUGAACUAGCGCUGGCUCAGCA
Serinus canaria (Common canary) is the source of this 771-nucleotide non-coding RNA. NCBI's taxonomy places the organism in Eukaryota, Metazoa, Chordata, Aves, Passeriformes, Fringillidae. The record is from the annotation of a RefSeq genome assembly.